GAGGAAGGCGCGAGGGGCUACGUCAAGGCCAAAGCCAACAGCGAGCAUGAUAACUCGGCGUUGAUUAUAGAGUGAGGACUGCGUCACACGGACCGCACGGAUGUGUGCAUUAACCUUACCCCGGAUCUGAAAACCUUCAAGAGUACAGCCAAUAUAUUCGUCCAGAAUGUUCUAAAAGGGAAAGACCUUUUGAACUAAGAAAGUAAGUCAUUUGGAAUGACAUGAGAGAUCAGGAGAGCUGGACGUCUGCCAAGCAGUGAAUGUGCUUCCUGGUGUCUGUGGCCAGCAGAGAGAGUAAACACACACAGCCUGAAGAUAUGUGACAUUUUGUCCUUUUACUAUGGCAGACAUCACAGAGGAGACAGAUGUGAUGGCUGUUUUGAAAGAUCAAGAGAGUGAAAAGCCCAAAACGCUGCUCCGCAAGCUCCAAAGCUCAACGGGGAGCUCCUCAUAUGUCUACAUGAAAAACCAAGGUUGGCUGGGCAAAUGGAGUUCAUCUAAAGACAUCCUGACCAUUGAUCCCUCUUACGUGACUAAUUGCCUAAAUCUGAUCGGUGUGAACAUGCUGCGUGCCAUUCAUCUGAAACGCCCUCGUCCUGCCUUGAAAGUACACAAAAGAUAUUCGAAGACCAUUGGAACCCAGUUUUGGUGACUAUUUACCUUCUCAAAACAUCCUUAAGUUCUACGUAAGAAAGAAAGUACAAGUUUUGAGAUGAGGGAGGCUGCUAGUGUGUUCCUGAAAGCGUGGCAUGUUCCCUACAGAUGAUCUUGCGUGGGAAGCUGACUCAGGGCUUGGGCACAAAGCGCGCUGUCAAAAACCCUCCGUGAACUGGAUGUGGCGGAAAUGGGCUUCCAUAUGAUGCUGACUUUUUUGGCAGUUCUGGAUUAUUAUGGCUGUUUUUGAGGCAAGUGCUCCUGAGUCAUUUGGAUGUCGAGUGCCCCCCUGUCUCAACCUCUUUUCCUGCCCUGUUACUCACCGGACCACUUCAAGUUUUCUUGGAGUGAAAAAUUUAUUGCAGGUUGGUAAAUUUUUUAUAGCUCCAUUUCAGUGGACCUUUGAUGGCGUGCUGCGUUCUGUAUCAAUCUGGCAGCGACCAGCCCUUAACAUUCUCACAAGCAGUCCCGUGAGGCCGUCUGACGCACACGCACACCUCCUGAAAAAGUUACACAGAGCGAGCGCUGUCCUGUCUGAUAAAUCCCCGUGGACCAGACCUCUAUGAUUUACCGCAUGUCUGGAGUUGGGCUUCUCUGGAACCAAUGACCCUACCAGGCAAGUGAAGUUUGUCAUCUUAAACACACCAUACGCUGCAAAUGGUCUGUAAAAGCAGAUUUGUUCUGUAUUAUAAUCCUAUCUUAAUUAUUCAUCUCAGUUUUGGAAAUCCACUGAGUGCUCGAAAAUUACAAGAUCAGACUUGCUGGUUUUGCUCUCAGCCUGUGGGCUAAACUUUUGGAUGGCCUCCUGACUGAACCUCUUUUUACUCUUACGACAACAAAACAUUUGCCUCUGUCCAGUAUGUAGGGGAGACCAGGGAUGGUUGUAACACUUUUCCUUGACGUGUAUAAAUCUAGAUUUUUUUUCCACUCAUUUAUCUCAGACUUUUACUAUGAAGUUUUCUGGCCAUGUUAAAAAAAAAAAAAAUCUAAGAUUACGAUA
Long non-coding RNA from Labeo rohita (rohu), 1654 nucleotides. RefSeq lists it as uncharacterized. The record is from RefSeq and is a predicted model, not a curated record. Lineage: Eukaryota; Metazoa; Chordata; Actinopteri; Cypriniformes; Cyprinidae. The transcript is spliced from 11 exons.